This is a non-coding RNA of Camelina sativa (false flax), 1174 nucleotides long. NCBI's taxonomy places the organism in Eukaryota, Viridiplantae, Streptophyta, Magnoliopsida, Brassicales, Brassicaceae. The record is from RefSeq and is a predicted model, not a curated record.
UGGAGACAGACAAUUAAAAAAAAAAAAAACUUAGACCCAAAAAAAAAAUAUUCGCAGAUCUCUUCUCCUCUCUAUCGUUGAUGUCUGACCUACUCUUCUACUGUCUCCCCCGCUAUGGCUGAACCACGCUCCCCCACACUCAUACUCCUCGUCCACCUCCUCCGUCUCUCUUUCAUUCGACCCAGCUCACCCAAACCCUACAUCACCUUGCAUAUAAGACUAGAAUUGAAAAUUCAUUCUCUUUGUGGUUUCAACAAGUCUAAAUGAAUUCAAUGUGGCAACGUCUCUCAUUUCGGAACAUUCAUAAUUGUUCCUUGUUGCAAAUGGUGUAUCUGAUUUUAACAAGAAGAGGAACCACGGGAAGAGUCUAAGCCUAUCUCACAUGCGUUAAGAGAAGACAGAACAUCCCAGGUGCGUUUAUGAGCAGCUCCACUGUCCUAAAAGCUGGAAUCAAUCACAAAGUUAUAUUAACUUUCUAGUCUCUUAUUUGUAAUGUCCAUUUCCUCUUCUAAACACACCAGUUUGAAUUUCAUUAGACCUGUGAGUAUUGUGAAUGAUGUAACCUAAACAUAAUAACAAUAUUGCUCCCCCAUGUACGUGUUUUCUACAACUCUCUACUCUUUUCAUGUAUAUAUAUUUUUGCUGUUGUUUCCCCAUCUGUGUUGUGUAACUGUGUUCUUACAAAUGUUUUUGGGUGUAGGAAGUUGCUACUUUUGGGACUGUAAGUCGUCCUUAAGUAUUGUGUUGAGAUUGAGUUUCUCGAUAAAGUGGAGAUAGUGAGUAAUGAUAGCUGCAAAAAAGGUCAAGUUCAGUUUAUUUCAGUUUCCAGUGGGUGGUAUUCACAGGCAACUCAAGUACACAUGGUAAAGUUGGUGCCACCGCUGCCUUCUGCUGCUACAAUCCUUGAGUACUUUACUGCAGAGGUUCUUGAGUUAGCUGGAAAUGCUAGCAAAUAUCUAAAAGUCAAGAGUAUAACUCCAUAGUAUCUGUAGUUGGCCAUCAGAGGAAUGUGGGAAAUGGGAAUGAUAAGUUUAGGACAUGAUUUUGUGUUUUGUUUAUGACUUGGUUUGAUGGUUACAUGGUCUCUUCUAGAGUUCAUGUUUGUAAUAUGUUCACUUUGUAUGCUUUUCUUUAAUGGAAAAGAAUUUGUAAUUUAUGAUUUUUUUGUUGGAUU